GGGAAUGUGACCCAGUGGUUGGGUGCCUGCUUAGCAUGCACAAGGCCCUGGGUUCAAUCCCCAGCAUUUCAC
Molecule: transfer RNA, 72 nt
Filed under: Rattus norvegicus (Norway rat)
Lineage: Eukaryota; Metazoa; Chordata; Mammalia; Rodentia; Muridae
Rfam family: tRNA
About the family: Transfer RNA (tRNA) molecules are approximately 80 nucleotides in length. Their secondary structure includes four short double-helical elements and three loops (D, anti-codon, and T loops).
Source: Rfam by way of RNAcentral